Molecule: long non-coding RNA, 3053 nt
Filed under: Homo sapiens (human)
Lineage: Eukaryota; Metazoa; Chordata; Mammalia; Primates; Hominidae
Description: non-protein coding lnc-SHC3-6:3
Source: RNAcentral
UUUGUUUUACCUGCUCAGUGUUCUGAACUCCUUCCUUUUCACUACUAAGCAUUCUCCAUGAAGCCACACUUCAUUUUGUCAUUGUGAGGUUGAUGGACAUCUAGGGCAAAUCUAACUUCUAAAGACCAAUUCUUACGAGGUGUCAUGGUCAAGCAGAGGCCAUGGCCGGCACUGGUCUAGGUGGCCCAUGGCCCAUUUGGGGGCCUUGGUGGGCCUCGAGGAAGGGCAGGUGCUGGUCAGGGAGCCGGGUCGCUAGGCAGCAGGUGGGUGUCACCCCAGUCCACGCUGCUGGGGUGCCUGGCCUGAUGCAGGCUGUGCCUGAGGGAGACAGAAGCAGCAGAGUAGGCUGGCCGGCCUCCCCAGCCCCACCACAAGCAGGAGCUUCAGAGACAGAAGGAGCACCUGCACCCCCUCACCUGCCCUCCAGGGCCUGGCCUGGCCCUCCCAGCUCAACUCCAGGGUCUGUACGCUCUGGGGCUGGAGCUUAGUGGGACUGUGGCCCCCCUCAGCCCUUUCUGCAUUUGAGUGGAAGCCAGUGUGCGAAGCAGAUCAAAAUGGAUGUGCUUGUUUUUCCUUCAGUAAGAACAGGGAGUUGAGCCUGUCCCAACAUGGCCAGCAGCCCCUGGAGGGCCAACAGACUUCACGAGCAAGGAAGGCCGGGAGGUGACCUGCUGACCAGAACUUACUUGUGCCCCUCCCCCCCGCCCAAAACCCCCAACAUUCUGGUUUUCACAGCCCCACCCCAGCCACCUGGAACAAAUAGUGUCUAGGAGUAGCCCUCAGGGUUGGCCGCGCAGACUUCUUGCCCUGGGAUGAGGCUGGCCUCCCCAGGCGAGGCAGCCUGGGCCACAGGGGAACGUCUCUGCCUCGCCCACCCUCCUGAUCUCUCCAUCAGACAAGCUGAGGCCAGCCAGGCUCCACCCUGGCAGGUUGCAACAGAUGGUCUGAGUGUGUGUGAAGUAACUGGCCUCUCUACUUUCUUCAAUAAGUAAUUAAGAUCAAAAGCCCAGAGAAAAACAACAGAGGUUUGCGGCAGAAGUGGCCAAUGUCGGGCCCAGAGUCCAUGCUCAAGGCUGGAAGCCCAUCCUGGAUGUGCUGCACUCGGCAGUCCUAGUGUAAUUCUGCAGGGCCUGGCCCCUGCCAGGGUCUGAGCUCUCCAGCCUGUGGCAUCUACUCCCCUCCAAGCCCACCCCAGUGUCUCAAUUGGAGAGACAGGCCCUCAUGGUCCCCACUCUGGCCCAGCCCCCUCUGCACACAGCUGGCCGAGCUCUGGGCCUCUCCAUGCUGUGGCCCUGGUGAUGGCAGAGCCUUGGGAUGUCUCUGUCCAUGUGGUCACAGGACAUGUGUGUGGCAGCAGGGCCAUGGUGGGGUGGGAUGCUGUUCCAAGGCCCAGAACCAUUCUGUAAGAAACCAGCACAGCGCUGCAAGAAAGGGGGUCCUAGGGGACACAGGCCACACAGGUGUGCUUUGAAAAAUGGCAAUUAAGGUCAAAGAGCAGGAAGUCCACAGGACGGGCCAAGGCCAAGGCUCCCGCUGGCCAUGGGGAAGCCACCUCCAGGGCAGUCCCAGGGACUGAAUUGGAAGUUGUCCCAAGUCACUUCAGGUCCAACUGGGACAGCAGAGGUAACCCCCCUGCACCCUCAUGGGGCAGCUUCUUUGGGUCCUAAAUGUGGACUCAGAGGUGGAAACGGUCUGUGUCCCCAGGUCCUGCAGACAUUCGCUUUGUCUGGGAGAAGAAUGGGCGAGCUCUGGAGACCUGUGUCCCUGUGCAGACCCAUGCACUGCCCGAUGGCAGGGCCCAUGCACUCAGCUGGCUGCAGGACGCCAUCAGGGAAAGCGCUGAGUAUCGCUGCUCUGUCCUCUCCUCAGCAGGGAACAAGACUUCGAAGGUGCAGGUUGCUGUGAUGAGACCUGGUAAGUGAUUCCCAUGCCCACUGUUACCCUUUUAUGAGGUAAUUUUUCACUAUUUACAAUGGCAGUGAAAAAAACAGCUGGAAAGCAUGCUUGCACGGUGGCAUUCUGGGUUUGGGUUUUAUUGGCUUUCCAUUGAGAAAGGUGGCCAGUGGGCAUCAAGGGUGCCAUAAAGGCCCACAGAGCUUUGACCUGGGGACCCUGCUUGUUUUCCAGAAGUGACCCACCAGGAGAGGUGGACCAGAGAGCUCUCUGCCUGGAGGGCUGUGGCUGGGGAGCACGACCGGAUGAUGCAGAGCUGGAGGAAGGCGUGGGAAAGCUGUAGCAAGGACACCCUGUAGCCACCAGGAAGGAGUCCCUGACACCGACCUCAACCCCAACAAGACCCUGCUGCCACUGACCACAGCCACCCCCGGAGAAGGCCUGGUCCCCCACAACUGUGAACUGUCUUGCCCAAGCCUGCUCUGAACACAGCCAUUGGGCCACCACCUGAUGGGCAGAGGCGGGACAGUGGAGAAGCCUGGAACCCAAGUGGGCCUGUGACAGGAACUAAGACUUAAAAAAUUAGGUGCUUACCUGGGACAGUAAGUUCUGUCUGGCACAAGCAGGUAACCAGGAUGGCUAACAGGCUUUGAUAGCUGCUCGUGAACUAAAACAGCAGGGUGUGUGCAGGUUCCUCCUCUACGGUCAGGCAGCAGGCUCUGAAGGCUGAUCCUACACCGUCCCAGUGACUCCCCUUGACAGAGUGCCCCCACCCCCUAAUAGCCAACAGGGUUAGCAUGGCCAGCACAGAUCGCUGCUUUUAUUGAUGCAAAUCAAGCCUGCUGCUUCUCCUCCCUGCAGACUUAGCCAAGGAACUCCAAGAUGCAUGACUGGGACAAGAAAAGGUGAGACUCCACAUGGAAAUGCCUUGCCCUAAACCUUGAAUGACUGUGAGAUGCGAUCUGGGAGUGCAUCUGUCAAGUCUUUGUGUUUUCUUCACUAACCUCAGAAUACUGGGCUCUAUUUUAUCAAGCGCUGCAGUUUAUGCCUCUGUCCCGUCAAUGCUCAGCUUCUGCAACAGGACACCAAACUUGAUGCAGAAAGCCAAAUAGGUCAAUUAUGCAAAUCUCCUGGUGCCAUAUUAAAUUUCUUGACGAUGG